GUGCAGCAGUCGAGAAUUUUCACAAUGGGGGAAACCCUGAUGGAGCGACGCCGCGUGGAGGAUGAAGGCCCUCGGGUCGUAAACUCCUGUCAUGCGGGAACAAGAAAGUGAUAGUACCGCGAGAGGAAGAGACGGCUAACUCUGUGCCAGCAGCCGCGGUAAUACAGAGGUCUCAAGCGUUAUUCGGAUUCAUUGGGCGUAAAGGGUGCGUAGGUGGCGAUGUAAGUCUGGUGUGAAAUCUCGGGGCUUAACCCGAAACUGCAUUGGAUACUGCGUUGCUUGAGGAUUGUAGAGGAGAGUGGAAUUCACGGUGUAGCAGUGAAAUGCGUAGAUAUCGUGAGGAAGACCAGUUGCGAAGGCGACUCUCUGGGCAAUUCCUGACACUGAGGCACGAAGGCCAGGGGAGCAAACGGGAUUAGAUACCGGGUAGU
Molecule: ribosomal RNA, 431 nt
Filed under: uncultured organism
Description: bacterial SSU rRNA
Rfam family: Bacterial small subunit ribosomal RNA
Source: RNAcentral